AAAGCUUAAGCUGUUGGGUAAGG
This 23-nucleotide microRNA is filed under the name Lotus japonicus. Its description in RNAcentral is "lja-miR11138-3p". The record is from miRBase by way of RNAcentral. Lineage: Eukaryota; Viridiplantae; Streptophyta; Magnoliopsida; Fabales; Fabaceae.